UAUAUGUAUCACAAAGUAACAUAAAAAUUUGAAAAUUCACAAAAAAAGUAACCGGGAUCUAGUAAAUUGGAUGCGCGCUUCUUUGUUUCUGGAUAAUUCCUUUCUCUAGGUUUUGCUCUCCCAACCUAACAGAUACAAGCUUCAAUUCCUUUUUUUUUUCUUCCAAUUUUUCCUUUCAUUAUGACCUAUACCUGUUGCGCCUGUCGUUCACCCCCGCUCGCGCCUGCCGUUCACCACCACUCACGUUCACCCCCAGCUCGUGGCUGUCGUUCACCACUGCUCGCACCUGCCGUUCUUAUUCGGCGAUUCGUCUUCAGCCUCUCGCCGCUGUCGUUCACCACCGCUCGUACUUCUCGAGCUCGCUGCUGUCGUUCACCACCGUUCGUCUUCAGCCGCUUGCGCCUGCCGUUCACAUCCCUCACGCUCCCUUCCGACCCUAAAGGUAAAAACCCUCACUGUUCUGGGAAGCCCCAAGGACGAACGACUAGGAUAGCCCCUGUGCUCGAAUCGGCCGACUGAGGCUCCGGCGUAGCACAGGACGCUCGCCGACAGGGACGAGUGCCCGACUAGGACGUCCUGAGACAACCAGGAGGUCCGAUCACAUACCAGACGACCGCUACUUCGGACGACGCCCUCCCCGGGACAAGGCUCCGGGACCCCACCACCUAGGAGUUGACCUAGGCCCACCACCCUACGGAACUAGGGUGGUUGGGUGUGGAUCUCAAGAAAUCAUAGACCGUUAGAUCACAGCUUGCAGCAGGGGAAGCAGAGGAUCCAACGGUCCUGAUCCUAUCAGUACGGACCAUGCAUGACGUUGCAUGGCUCCAACCCUAAUAUCCCUACGUGUAUAUAAAGGAGGCUCCUUCCCUACACCAAGGAGCCCCUCCCGGGAUCAUCCAACUCGUCGGCUUACCACCUCUCCACCCCUCUCCGUCACUCUCGCUCUCCGAGUGGCUUGGUCACUCCGAUCACUCACCCUAUGAAUUUAAUUUUUCUUGAUUAUUAAACCCGCAAUCUGCCAUUAAUGUUGAUGGUGAAUCUUAAAAAAUUGCAAUGGAUUUCUCUCUUUUUGUUUCUUAUCUUGUCUGGUUGUUUUUGUUUCUGGUUAAUUGUUGGUUUAGUUGACAAGGAUUUAGGGGAGAACUGUGCUGGUGUGAUUCGAACCAGUGAUGAAUUGGAUUACCAACCUUUAGUCCGUUAUGAUUCUUCUGAUAGUGAAUAAGUCUGUGAAAUAGAUUGUCUUUGAAUCUUUGGGAGUUUGUUUUAUCCAUUAGUAGUCCUUGUUUCAGGAACAAGUUAAGGUAUAUUUUAAUUUUUAAUUUCAAGUGAUUUCCCUUCUUUUCUUCAACAAUUUAUAAAUCUAUAUAGUAUUUUACAUGUUGUGAGGUUGUUUUGUAGCUUGUUGGGAGAACUUUUAUUGUGUUGAGUGGCUUCUUUAUAGUUUAUAUACCUUUUAGUUUGUUAGUUAGAACCCCCUCCCUGUGUGUGGAAUUGUGAAUUGUUUGAACCUUGUAUGUGUGGAAUAGGAACAUGAAUGCAGGCACAACAGGUUUUGGAGAAUCGCUGCUAUCAACCAAGCAGGAGGGGAAAGAUAGAAUAACAAUGGAAGAAGAUAGAAUAACAAUGGAAGAUAUGGACCUUGCUGUCCGUGCCAAUCUUAGGGGAUGAAAAAAUUUGUACCUUGAUGACCUCCAGCUAGUCUUCUAAUUAUUCUACUGUCAGAAGGCUCCCAAUGGAAUGGACAAAGUUGUCGUUCCGCUUGUGGAAUCAGGAAAUGUAAAGGUUUGAGGAUGAUGGAUUGCUGCUCCACAUAGCCAGCAAAUGAUGCAAGAAAUCAUUAUGUUAGUGAGCCUUUCUACUAUAUCCCAGUUCAUAGAUAAGCAUAGGAGUGUUCUUAGCAAAUUUCAAGAAGGAGAUCAAGGUUUACUAUAGCUGAAGAAUCAAAGCAAUGGUCGUGUUAUUAUCAAUGCAUCAAUUGCAAGUUGGUUACCUUUACCAAGAUGAGGUUAUAUGGUGUAAGUAUAAUAGUUUAUGCAUUAAGUUUUAUCCUUCUCUGUUUUCUUUAUCAUUCUCUGUUCAAUUGCCUUUGGUACAGCUUGGCUUAGGAAUUUCCAAAGGCCAAUGGAAUUGUAUUCAGAUUGAAAUCGUCUACAAGUGUUUUUUUUUUAAUUAGUUUCCAACUUAUUUGUUAGAAUCAAGUUGUUAUUCAUGCUAUAGGGAAAAAAAGCAAAAGACCCUAUCUUUUGAGUAA
Molecule: long non-coding RNA, 2251 nt
Organism: Lotus japonicus
Lineage: Eukaryota; Viridiplantae; Streptophyta; Magnoliopsida; Fabales; Fabaceae
Exons: 4
Source: RefSeq, a predicted model, not a curated record